Molecule: transfer RNA, 69 nt
Filed under: Marmota monax (woodchuck)
Lineage: Eukaryota; Metazoa; Chordata; Mammalia; Rodentia; Sciuridae
Rfam family: tRNA
About the family: Transfer RNA (tRNA) molecules are approximately 80 nucleotides in length. Their secondary structure includes four short double-helical elements and three loops (D, anti-codon, and T loops).
Source: Rfam by way of RNAcentral
GGGGUUGUGGCUCAGAGGUAGAGCGCUCGCCUAGCAUGCGUGAGGCAUGGGGUUUAAUCCUCAGCACCA